AUGCUCAGAUUACACAAAACACGCAAAAAAUAUCUAAAGCUGAAACAGUAUCGGAUUCUCCCAACCCCCCAACCAAACAAAACGAAACUGUGUCGCCGACUCUGCACAACCAGAACUACCAACCGAGCAAGAGCCAAUACCACAAAUAUAACAGUCAAUAAGCAUACAUUAUGUCAGAUUAGAACCCAAGAACAGCAUAUACUAGUACCACAACAGAGAGAACCGGCAGGGUCGACAAACCGGCAACCAACAACAGACUUUCUUCAACAAACACCUGACUCCACGCAUCCAAAACCGCACUGCAACCAGUCCUCAGACUCCCAGACUGCUAAAAGACAACUCUCACUCCCUCGAUCGACAUAG
Non-coding RNA from Vicia faba (fava bean), 363 nucleotides. The record is from the annotation of a GenBank genome assembly. Lineage: Eukaryota; Viridiplantae; Streptophyta; Magnoliopsida; Fabales; Fabaceae.